RNAcentral lists this non-coding RNA (46 nucleotides) under Trichobilharzia regenti. The record is from RNAcentral. Lineage: Eukaryota; Metazoa; Platyhelminthes; Trematoda; Strigeidida; Schistosomatidae.
AUGCUUCUGAAGAGUCCCAAACUGGGACGAAACAGCUGUCUAAUAU